RNAcentral lists this ribosomal RNA (253 nucleotides) under uncultured bacterium. RNAcentral describes it as "partial 16S ribosomal RNA". It matches the Rfam family "Bacterial small subunit ribosomal RNA", at positions 524 to 776 of the family's 1533-position model. The record is from RNAcentral.
UACAGAGGUGGCAAGCGUUGUUCGGAAUUACUGGGCGUAAAGGGCGCGUAGGCGGCCUUCUAAGUCAGACGUGAAAUCCCCCGGCUUAACCUGGGAACUGCGUCUGAUACUGGGGGGCUUGAGUAUGGGAGAGGGAUGUAGAAUUCCAGGUGUAGCGGUGAAAUGCGUAGAUAUCUGGAGGAAUACCGGUGGCGAAGGCGGCUCUCUGGGACGGUACUGACGCUGAGACGCGAAAGCGUGGGGAGCGAACAGG